AGCUAUUUUGACGGGUUUCGUGACAGACGAGCAUGAAAUAUGUAUUUGUUCGUUGUCGACGAAACCUGCCUGAAAUAGCC
Molecule: microRNA precursor, 80 nt
Filed under: Octopus vulgaris (common octopus)
Lineage: Eukaryota; Metazoa; Mollusca; Cephalopoda; Octopoda; Octopodidae
Description: mir-981 microRNA precursor family
Rfam family: mir-981 microRNA precursor family
Source: Rfam by way of RNAcentral